RNAcentral lists this ribosomal RNA (465 nucleotides) under uncultured bacterium. Its description in RNAcentral is "partial 16S ribosomal RNA". It matches the Rfam family "Bacterial small subunit ribosomal RNA", at positions 28 to 507 of the family's 1533-position model. The record is from RNAcentral.
GACGAACGCUGGCGGCGUGCUUAACACAUGCAAGUCGUACGGUAAGGCCCUUUCGGGGGUACACGAGUGGCGAACGGGUGAGUAACACGUGAGUAACCUGCCCACAACUUUGGGAUAACGCUAGGAAACUGGUGCUAAUACUGGAUAUGUGCUCCUGCUGCAUGGUGGGGGUUGGAAAGCUCCGGCGGUUGUGGAUGGACUCGCGGCCUAUCAGCUUGUUGGUGGGGUAGUGGCCUACCAAGGCGGCGACGGGUAGCCGGCCUGAGAGGGUGACCGGCCACAUUGGGACUGAGAUACGGCCCAGACUCCUACGGGAGGCAGCAGUGGGGAAUAUUGCACAAUGGGCGCAAGCCUGAUGCAGCAACGCCGCGUGCGGGAUAACGGCCUUCGGGUUGUAAACCGCUUUCAGCAGGGACGAAGCUUUUUGUGACGGUACCUGCAGAAGAAGCACCGGCUAACUACAUG